Zea mays is the source of this 1849-nucleotide RNA transcript. It is a transcript of the gene named NOL1/NOP2/sun family protein, with no coding region annotated. The record is from RefSeq and is marked validated. The transcript has 11 exons. NCBI's taxonomy places the organism in Eukaryota, Viridiplantae, Streptophyta, Magnoliopsida, Poales, Poaceae.
AUAAUGACGGAUCCGACCGUCCCGGCCAGCGGCGACGGCGAGCUGCCUUGGGGCCUGGCACUCCGGCAGAGUCGCAGAGAACAAACGGCUGCCACAGUGCCACGGCUUGCUCUGCGGCGAGCCUUGGGCACCGAGGCGCCUCCCAUCCUCUAAGCUCCAGGAUUCUCAAGUUUUCAAGUUGUUGCGCAGUUCCUUCUUCUCGGGGAAAUCGAUCCGGAGAGAAUGGAAGAGCCGGAUUGCCCAGAAGGUUCCGUUCCCGACCGCGGAGGAGAGCGGCGGACGGCUUCCCUGCCGCUGCCGGCCGCCUUCCUCGAGUUCCUCAGCGAGAACGGCCUGGACCCUGCGGUGUACUCAAUGGCAGCCACCAUCCCGCGCUACAUAAGGCUAAAACCAGGCAUGGAGUCCAAGAUCGCAGAGAUUGAAGCCGAGUUGAAGUGUGCCCUUGACAAGGUUUUAUGGCUGCCUGGGUUCUAUGCGAUUCCGCCGGAAAUUCAGAUUGCUGGCUCCAAGGCUUAUCAGCAAGGGAAGAUCUAUGGAAUUGAUGCCGCUUCUGGAGCUGCUAUAUUAGCACUUGAUGUUCGACCAGGAAAUCAUGUUCUUGACCUCUGUGCUGCCCCAGGUGCAAAGCUUUGCAUGCUCGCAGAUACGCUUGGAACCACUGGUUCUCUGACUGGUGUUGAUGUUGCAAAGCACCGCCUUGCGGCCUGUCGUACAAUGUUGCAGAAGUAUUCUCUUGGUGACCGUACUCGGCUCUUUGUUGCUGAUGGAACUUUGUUUUCCCUUUUACCUGUGAACUCCAGGAUGCAAAGAAUGGAAGGGUCAAUUGGCGUUGAAGAAAAUGGAAGCAUAUUCCCAGAAUGGACUUCAAGGAGAUCAUGGAAGGAUCGGCAGAAGACUAGGAAAGCAAAUGCAAAUGGUCAACAGCACCUACUGGCAGCUUCAGAACCUGAACUGAUAUACUAUGGUAAACAUUCAGGAUUAGUUGGACAGUGUAAAUCUGAUGUCUUUUGUCCAUCAGUUGAUGAUGAAGCUUGUACAUCUGGCUAUGACAAGGUCCUAGUGGAUGCGGAGUGUACUCAUGAUGGAUCCAUAAAACAUAUUCAAAAAUUUGAAUUCUGGGGAUGGAAAAGUCUAGAUCGCCGCGUACUUGAUGCUGAAAGAACUGAGAACCUUCUUCAGCUUCAGUUACAUCUCCUCACAAAUGGUUUUAAAUUGUUGAAAACCGGUGGAUCACUUGUAUAUAGUACUUGCAGCUUGACAGUUGCACAGAAUGAAUGCGUGGUUCAACAAUUCCUUUCAACACACCCUUCUGCAGAUUUGCAGAAGAUCAAUUUGGCCGACAAUUGGCCCUGCAGAAGUGGCGGCAUCCCCAAAACACUGCGAUUCGAUCCUGCAGUUUCACAAACCAGUGGUCUUUUUGUUGCCAAGUUCUGUAAACUACCGACUUAAAGCAUUUUCUGGUCUAUCUUCCUGGACCAUUCAUGUCCUCUCACAUGUAAAACUGGGUUUUCCUGUCAGCAACUAAAUUACAAUUUCUGUUCUUGCAGUUGGAUUGGUCAGUCAAAUACCCAAACGAUAGCAAACCAGGUACUCAAAUGGCUGAUGUUAUCGGCAUGAAACCAAAUCAGUUCAAAGAGAUUGGUGUUCUUUGUCCUCCUAAACGAUGUUCUCUCUCCCAUGAUUCAAAUUAUGACUCAUCAACUCGAUUCUCUGGAAAUUAGUAUAGCUUUGAAUAUCUCCAUUAUUCUCUUGUAGAUAUAUAUCCAAUAUAUACUUCUUCACUCGUUAGGCAUUUUGCUCGAUCCCAAACCUGGUUGUCAUGCAAAUAUGCUAUAUAUCGUUAAAAACA